RNAcentral lists this ribosomal RNA (1360 nucleotides) under uncultured bacterium. Its description in RNAcentral is "partial 16S ribosomal RNA". It matches the Rfam family "Bacterial small subunit ribosomal RNA", at positions 58 to 1374 of the family's 1533-position model. The record is from RNAcentral.
UCCCCCCGGCGGGGGGCGCCACCCCCGGGGGGGGGGCCCCGCGGGGGGGGGGUUUUUAAAAACCCACUUUUAUCCCCCCCCUUUUCCUUUUUUUUUUGGAAGAGGGGAUAGGCCCCAGAGAAAAAAUUUUGGGUUUUAAUUUUUUUAAAAACCCCCCCCAAAGGUUUCCCAUGUUUUUCAAGGUUAAAAAGUUUACGUAAAGGGAAUGGGCCAUGGUUCCUUAUUAAGUUUGUUUGGUGAAGGUAUUGGCUUCACCAAAGAUUUACGAUAGUACCGGGGUUUGGAGAGGAUUAUCCCCCCACAAUUGGUAUUGAGACACGGACCCAGACUCCUACGGGAGGCAGCAGUGAGGAAUAUGCGCAAAUGGACGAAAGUCUGACGCAGCCAUGCCGCGUGAGGAGCGGUGAGAUGAGCGUAGCGUGUACUCUUUUAUAUACCAAGAAACCUUCGGACGUGUCCGAAGCUGACGGUAGUAUAUGAAUAAGCACCGGCUAACUCCGUGCCAGCAGCCGCGGUAAUACGGAGGGUGCAAGCGUUAUCCGGAUUUAUUGGGUUUAAAGGGUCCGUAGGCGGAUCAUUAAGUCAGUGGUGAAAGCCGACAGCUCAACUGUCGAACUGCCAUUGAUACUGGUGAUCUUGAGUACGGUUGAAGUAGGCGGAAUAUGACAUGUAGCGGUGAAAUGCUUAGAUAUGUCAUAGAACACCGAUUGCGAAGGCAGCCUACUAAGCCGUUACUGACGCUGAGGGACGAAAGUGUGGGGAGCGAACAGGAUUAGAUACCCUGGUAGUCCACACCGUAAACGAUGAUUACUCGGUAUUGGCUUUAUUGUCAGUGCCCAAGCGAAAGUGAUAAGUAAUCCACCUGGGGAGUACGGCCGCAAGGUUGAAACUCAAAGGAAUUGACGGGGGCCCGCACAAGCGGUGGAGCAUGUGGUUUAAUUCGAUGAUACGCGAGGAACCUUACCAGGGCUUAAAUGUAGAACGACCGGGGUGGAAACACCCCCUUUUUCGAACGGUCUACAAGGUGCUGCAUGGUUGUCGUCAGCUCGUGCUGUGAAGUGUCGGGUUAAGUCCCAUAACGAGCGCAACCCCUAUUUCUAGUUGCCAGCGGUUCGGCCGGGGACUCUAGAGAAACUGCCAGCGUAAGCUGUGAGGAAGGUGGGGACGACGUCAAAUCAUCACGGCCCUUACGUCCUGGGCCACACACGUGCUACAAUGGUGGGGACAACGAGUUGCCAACCCGCAAGGGUGAGCUAAUCUCUCAAACCCCAUCUCAGUUCGGAUCGGAGUCUGCAACUCGACUCCGUGAAGUUGGAAUCGCUAGUAAUCGCGCAUCAGCCAUGNNCGUCGGAAUAGCGCC